This is a non-coding RNA of Mycena epipterygia, 89 nucleotides long. Lineage: Eukaryota; Fungi; Basidiomycota; Agaricomycetes; Agaricales; Mycenaceae. The record is from the annotation of a GenBank genome assembly.
GACUCGAUGGCGAAUGGUCCGCGUCUGCGUUUCAUUCGCCUGAAUGAACCUUUCCGUAGAAGGUGCCUGUUCGAAUCAGGCUCGGGUCU